RNAcentral lists this ribosomal RNA (496 nucleotides) under uncultured Glomeromycotina. RNAcentral's name for it is "partial small subunit ribosomal RNA". It matches the Rfam family "Eukaryotic small subunit ribosomal RNA", at positions 591 to 1092 of the family's 1831-position model. Lineage: Eukaryota; Fungi; Glomeromycota. The record is from RNAcentral.
CCAAUAGCGUAUAUUAAAGUUGUUGCAGUUAAAAAGCUCGUAGUUGAAUUUUGGGUUUGGCCGAUUGGUCCGUUCUUGUAGCGAGUACUGGUCGGUUGGGCCUCACCGCUUGGGGAAGGGUAAUGUCCUUUAUUGGGUGUUGCUCGGAGCCAAGACCUUUACCUUGAAAAAAUUAGAGUGUUUAAAGCAGGCUUAUUCCGGAAUACAUUAGCAUGGAAUAAUAGAAUAGGACAACGAUUCUAUUUUGUUGGUUUCUAGGACCGUUGUAAUGAUUAAUAGGGAUAGUUGGGGACAUUAGUAUUCAAUUGUCAGAGGUGAAAUUCUUGGAUUUAUUGAAGACUAACUACGGCGAAAGCAUUUGUCAAGGAUGUUUUCAUUAAUCAAGAACGAAAGUUAGGGGAUCGAAGACGAUCAGAUACCGUCGUAGUCUUAACCAUAAACUAUGCCGACUAGGGAUCGGGCGAUGUUGUUUCAAUGACUCGCUCGGCACCUUAUG